AGCGGCGGACGGGUGAGUAACGCGUGGGUAACCUGCCCUGUACACACGGAUAACAUACCGAAAGGUAUGCUAAUACGAGAUAAUAUACUUUUAUCGCAUGGUAGAAGUAUCAAAGCUUUUGCGGUACAGGAUGGACCCGCGUCUGAUUAGCUAGUUGGUAAGGUAACGGCUUACCAAGGCGACGAUCAGUAGCCGACCUGAGAGGGUGAUCGGCCACAUUGGAACUGAGACACGGUCCAAACUCCUACGGGAGGCAGCAGUGGGGAAUAUUGCACAAUGGGCGAAAGCCUGAUGCAGCAACGCCGCGUGAGCGAUGAAGGCCUUCGGGUCGUAAAGCUCUGUCCUCAAGGAAGAUAAUGACGGUACUUGAGGAGGAAGCCCCGGCUAACUACGUGCCAGCAGCCGCGGUAAUACGUAGGGGGCUAGCGUUAUCCGGAAUUACUGGGCGUAAAGGGUGCGUAGGUGGUUUCUUAAGUCAGAGGUGAAAGGCUACGGCUCAACCGUAGUAAGCCUUUGAAACUGGGAAACUUGAGUGCAGGAGAGGAGAGUGGAAUUCCUAGUGUAGCGGUGAAAUGCGUAGAUAUUAGGAGGAACACCAGUUGCGAAGGCGGCUCUCUGGACUGUAACUGACACUGAGGCACGAAAGCGUGGGGAGCAAACAGGAUUAGAUACCCUGGUAGUCCACGCCGUAAACGAUGAGUACUAGCUGU
Molecule: ribosomal RNA, 710 nt
Filed under: uncultured bacterium
Lineage: Bacteria
Description: bacterial SSU rRNA
Rfam family: Bacterial small subunit ribosomal RNA
Source: RNAcentral